AGUGAACGCUGGCGGUAGGCCUAACACAUGCGAGUCGAACGGCAGCACAGUAAGAGCUUGCUCUUACGGGUGGCGAGUGGCGGACGGGUGAGGAAUACAUCGGAAUCUACUUUUUCGUGGGGGAUAACGUAGGGAAACUUACGCUAAUACCGCAUACGACCUACGGGUGAAAGCAGGGGAUCUUCGGACCUUGCGCGAUUGAAUGAGCCGAUGUCGGAUUAGCUAGUUGGCGGGGUAAAGGCCCACCAAGGCGACGAUCCGUAGCUGGUCUGAGAGGAUGAUCAGCCACACUGGAACUGAGACACGGUCCAGACUCCUACGGGAGGCAGCAGUGGGGAAUAUUGGACAAUGGGCGCAAGCCUGAUCCAGCCAUAUCGCGUGGGUGAAGAAGGCCUUCGGGUUGUAAAGCCCUUUUGUUGGGAAAGAAAAGCAGCAGGUUAAUACCCCGCUGUUCUGACGGUACCCAAAGAAUAAGCACCGGCUAACUUCGUG
This 492-nucleotide ribosomal RNA is filed under the name uncultured bacterium. RNAcentral's name for it is "partial 16S ribosomal RNA". It matches the Rfam family "Bacterial small subunit ribosomal RNA", at positions 29 to 507 of the family's 1533-position model. The record is from RNAcentral.